GUUUUGAAUAUGCUGGUGUCCUGAAGGAUGACAAAAUAUGAUUGUAGCACAUAUAUUAUAUUCUUAUAUAUAGGCCUACAAUUUACAUUUCAAAUCUAAUAUUUCCAGAAUUCAAACUGGGAAAAUGGAGCAUUGUUGGACAAACUAAGGCCAUAUAUAAACUUCGUCCAAUCAAAUGUUCUUUAGACUGAGAACAUCCCUCCCAUUAAUAACCACCUGCCACUCAUUAGCAAAAGUCAUGUUUUAGUGGCUAUUGUGUUUCAUCCAUGCUUUUUGUUUGGGAAAUAUAUCAACAUGGAAAAGAAUACUGGUCUUCAAACCAUCCAUCCAUCAUGUGGUCAUGAGUUAUGUGCUAAAUAUUCAUAAAAAGGAGUGAGAAAAAGACAAAGAGAGAGAGGGUGAGAGGGAGUGAUCCUGUAUCCGUGAUCCUGCUCCUGUGUUGUUCUUCUGGAUUGGAUGUUGUCUGGGCAGACAGCUUGACAAAUGAUACUUUUUGCUUUCAUCGAAUGGAAAAUAGCAGGCUGAACAUUCCUCAGAAUUUCACACAGGUGUGAAACAACAUGAGGGGAGAGGUCAGGCCUCUGGAGAUUCCAUCAGCAUGUGCUGACAGCACUGAAUCCUGGGUAAUGCGUGCGCGUGGAGGAUGUGACAUCAUCGCUACCCCUGGCUUUAUCUCUCAAAGUUAAUCACUUUGGAAACAUUCCAGGAAUAACAAGUGCAACUGCACAUGUGUGUGUAAAAAUGACAGCGUGACACCUAUGUGUGUGAAAGUAAAUUGUAUUUAUCUGUCAACCUGGAGAAUGUAGCAGGUUACUAAUGUUGCUAAGCUCUCUCUCUCUCUCUCUCUCUCUCUCUCUCUCUCUCUCUCUCUCUCUCUCUCUCUCUCUCUCUCUCUCUCUCUCUCUAUAUAUAUAUAUAAGUACUCUAAAGCUAAGCAUGCCGACUUGUUUAAAACAGAAUUUGCAAAUAUAUAUUUUAUAGGUCCAGACCACAUGAUGAGCUGCUUUUAAUUAUUCAGGAAUUAUCCCGGAUUAUGCUCUAAUGCACAUAAUUUUUGUUGCUCUGAAAUAAUUAAGACAUUAUUUAGGAUCACAUUUGUAACCCAUACACAUUCCCCACUCAAAAUAAAAUAUAGUAAAAAUAAAAACAGAAUAAAACAGUGUACAUAUAGAUUUGUAUAAAUCUUUCUCUCUCAGUACAGGCACAUGUUUGUGUGUGUAACUCUAACCUGUGCUCAUGCGGGGCCGGUGGGCUGUAAUUUGCCCUCACCUGGCCCCAGCCAUAAUUACUCUAAUGAAGCAGGACGGAGCCAGGGGUCCAAGCCCUGGCC
This is a long non-coding RNA of Cyprinus carpio (common carp), 1330 nucleotides long. RefSeq lists it as uncharacterized. The transcript has 4 exons. The record is from RefSeq and is a predicted model, not a curated record. NCBI's taxonomy places the organism in Eukaryota, Metazoa, Chordata, Actinopteri, Cypriniformes, Cyprinidae.